RNAcentral lists this ribosomal RNA (253 nucleotides) under uncultured bacterium. RNAcentral's name for it is "partial 16S ribosomal RNA". It matches the Rfam family "Bacterial small subunit ribosomal RNA", at positions 524 to 776 of the family's 1533-position model. The record is from RNAcentral.
UACAGAGGGGGCGAGCGUUGUUCGGAAUUACUGGGCGUAAAGGGCGCGUAGGCGGCCUUCUAAGUCGAACGUGAAAUCCCCGGGCUCAACCCGGGAACUGCGUCCGAUACUGGGAGGCUUGAAUCCGGGAGAGGGAUGUGGAGUUCCAGGUGUAGCGGUGAAAUGCGUAGAUAUCUGGAGGAACACCGGUGGCGAAGGCGGCAUCCUGGACCGGUAUUGACGCUGAGGCGCGAAAGCCAGGGGAGCAAACGGG